CGAACGCUGGCGGCGUGCUUAACACAUGCAAGUCGAGCGGAAAGGCCUCUUUGGGGGUACUCGAGCGGCGAACGGGUGAGUAACACGUGAGUAAUCUGCCCCUGGCUCUGGGAUAGCCACCGGAAACGGUGAUUAAUACUGGAUAUGACCAUCUGGCGCAUGUUGGGUGGUGGAAAGUUUUUUCGGCUGGGGAUGUGCUCGCGGCCUAUCAGCUUGUUGGUGGGGUAAUGGCCUACCAAGGCUUUGACGGGUAGCCGGCCUGAGAGGGUGACCGGUCACACUGGGACUGAGACACGGCCCAGACUCCUACGGGAGGCAGCAGUGGGGAAUAUUGGACAAUGGGCGGAAGCCUGAUCCAGCAACGCCGCGUGAGGGAUGACGGCCUUCGGGUUGUAAACCUCUUUCAGUACCGACGAAGCGGAAGUGACGGUAGGUACAGAAGAAGGACCGGCCAACUACGUGCCAGCAGCCGCGGUAAUACGUAGGGUCCGAGCGUUGUCCGGAAUUAUUGGGCGUAAAGGGCUCGUAGGCGGUUUGUUGCGUCGGGAGUGAAAUCCUCCAGCUUAACUGGGGGCUUGCUUUCGAUACGGGCAGACUUGAGGCAUGCAGGGGAGAAUGGAAUUCCUGGUGUAGCGGUGAAAUGCGCAGAUAUCAGGAGGAACACCGGUGGCGAAGGCGGUUCUCUGGGCAUGUCUGAC
This 698-nucleotide ribosomal RNA is filed under the name Nocardioides sp. P3673. RNAcentral's name for it is "bacterial SSU rRNA". It matches the Rfam family "Bacterial small subunit ribosomal RNA", at positions 30 to 744 of the family's 1533-position model. Lineage: Bacteria; Bacillati; Actinomycetota; Actinomycetes; Propionibacteriales; Nocardioidaceae. The record is from RNAcentral.